GGGGGCGACCUGGUUUCGACGUGGGUCGCGAAACCCUGGGUGCAUGCCGAGGCGCAGAUCACCUCGUAAAUCCAGCUGCAAACCAAUAGUUGCGAACGACUCCAACUACGCUCUGGCUGCCUAAAAACCAGUCUUGAGCCCUCGGGCUGAGUCCGUGCUUGUGCGGGAGCAGAUGCCGGGGUUAUCAAUCACAAGAUCGCGUGCGGGCUCGUCCGGGGUCCAAUCGUUAAAUCCUGCAAUCCGGACUGGCUGUCGGUCUUCCCUGUCCGUCGGGUAGCCGCCAGCGAGAUCAAAGGCGGUCUAAGCAUGUAGAGCUCAUGGCGUAGGGCUUGCGGACGCGGGUUCGAUUCCCGCCGCCUCCACCA
Molecule: transfer-messenger RNA, 365 nt
Filed under: Gammaproteobacteria (g-proteobacteria)
Lineage: Bacteria; Pseudomonadati; Pseudomonadota
Also listed under: 4 other names
Description: QUBU01 sp014337915 Standard tmRNA
Rfam family: transfer-messenger RNA
About the family: Bacterial tmRNA, also known as 10Sa RNA or SsrA, is named for its dual tRNA and mRNA-like properties.
Source: RNAcentral